Molecule: ribosomal RNA, 492 nt
Filed under: uncultured bacterium
Lineage: Bacteria
Description: partial 16S ribosomal RNA
Rfam family: Bacterial small subunit ribosomal RNA
Source: RNAcentral
AGUGAACGCUGGCGGUAGGCCUAACACAUGCAAGUCGAACGGCAGCACAGUAAGAGCUUGCUCUUACGGGUGGCGAGUGGCGGACGGGUGAGGAAUACAUCGGAAUCUACUUUUUCGUGGGGGAUAACGUAGGGAAACUCACGCUAAUACCGCAUACGACCUACGGGUGAAAGCAGGGGAUCUUCGGACCUUGCGCGAUUGAAUGAGCCGAUGUCGGAUUAGCUAGUUGGCGGGGUAAAGGCCCACCAAGGCGACGAUCCGUAGCUGGUCUGAGAGGAUGAUCAGCCACACUGGAACUGAGACACGGUCCAGACUCCUACGGGAGGCAGCAGUGGGGAAUAUUGGACAAUGGGCGCAAGCCUGAUCCAGCCAUACCGCGUGGGUGAAGAAGGCCUUCGGGUUGUAAAGCCCUUUUGUUGGGAAAGAAAAGCAGCAGGUUAAUACCCCGCUGCUCUGACGGUACCCAAAGAAUAAGCACCGGCUAACUUCGUG